CGGUUGAGCCUUGAUUAUGGAUUGAUUUUUCUGAAGGGAGGAUUCAUGAAACUGGACUCUGACUUUCUGGCAAUCGUAUAAUCUAUAAACUAAGUUUCUUUUCGGGGAGCUGUUCAUAAAAUUAGCUACAACUUUGUUGCUUGGAAGCCAUGGGAGUAGCAGCUGCAGAUAAUCAUGAUGAGGUUCCACUAUUACAAACUCAACCAGCGCUAGCAGAGCCUCUUUUCAAGAGAACCGAAUUGAAAGGGGACAAUUUGUAACGCUCAUUUGGGGCUUUCGGACAUGUUCUCUCUCUCUCUCUCUCUCUCUUCCCAUGAACAGCAAAUGGUAAUUGGAUUGAAGUCAUGAUUUGAUAUUUCCGUGAUAGUUUAUGCAGAGAUUUUUACAGUGAAAUAUGAA
Long non-coding RNA from Alnus glutinosa, 399 nucleotides. RefSeq lists it as uncharacterized. The record is from RefSeq and is a predicted model, not a curated record. The transcript is spliced from 3 exons. Lineage: Eukaryota; Viridiplantae; Streptophyta; Magnoliopsida; Fagales; Betulaceae.